GACGAACGCUGGCGGCGUGCUUAACACAUGCAAGUCGAACGAUGAAGCCGGAGCUUGCUCCGGUGGAUUAGUGGCGAACGGGUGAGUAACACGUGAGCAAUCUGCCCUUGACUCUGGGAUAACUGCGGGAAACUGUAGCUAAUACCGGAUACGACACCUUGGGGCAUCCCAGGGUGUGGAAAGAAUUUCGGUCAAGGAUGAGCGCGCGGCCUAUCAGCUAGUUGGUGAGGUAAUGGCUCACCAAGGCGACGACGGGUAGCCGGCCUGAGAGGGUGACCGGCCACGAUGGAACGGGGACACGGACCAGACUCCUACGGGAGGCAGCAGUGGGGAAUAUUGCACAAUGGGCGAACGCCUGAUGCAGCGACGCCGCGUGAGGGAUGAAGGCCUUCGGGUUGUAAACCUCUUUUAGCAGGGAAGAAGCGAAAGUGACGGUACCUGCAGAAAAAGCACCGGCUAACUACGUGCCAGCCGCCGCGGUAA
This 483-nucleotide ribosomal RNA is filed under the name uncultured bacterium. RNAcentral's name for it is "partial 16S ribosomal RNA". It matches the Rfam family "Bacterial small subunit ribosomal RNA", at positions 28 to 523 of the family's 1533-position model. The record is from RNAcentral.